Molecule: ribosomal RNA, 275 nt
Filed under: uncultured prokaryote
Description: partial 16S ribosomal RNA
Rfam family: Bacterial small subunit ribosomal RNA
Source: RNAcentral
UACGUAGGGGGCGAGCGUUAUCCGGAAUUAUUGGGCGUAAAGAGUGCGUAGGUGGUUUCUUAAGCGUGAGGUGAAAGGCAGUGGCUCAACCAUUGUAAGCCUUGCGAACUGUGAGACUUGAGUUCAGGAGAGGAAGCGGAAUUCCCGGUGUAGCGGUGAAAUGCGUAGAUAUCGGGAGGAACAUCUGUGGCGAAGGCGAUUUACUGGGCCGCAACUGACGCUGAUACACGAAAGCGUGGGUAGCAAACAGGAUUAGAUACCCGGGUAGUCCCUGA